AGGCACAUUGCUAGAGGAGCAAAGAAAGUCUCGCGAGUCCUCCUCUUCUCCCAAGUGUAACUGUGGUUAAACUUUAGCCGAGAUGCAGGGAGAGAGGGCCAGUCUCGGCUAUUUAUCAGAGGGCUUAAACUUUGAGCAUGGUUCCACCUCCAGUAAUGGUUUGAUGGAUCACUGGGACGGUCUUGGUGAUAACGACUUGCAGGACUACAUGAUUGCAAAUUCUGAAUCUCUCGCUCACUCGGUUUACCCUGAACAACAUAGGUUUAGCCUCGGCGAGGAGGCUAGCUCUAGUGGCACGAAGAAUGAAGCUUCCGGUCACAAUGAGCAACUAAGAAAUGAAAUAAUUGAUUUAGACUCAGAUUCUGAACAACCUUCUGGGGACAAUCAGAAUGUCAACCUGAAUGCAGAAUAUAUUGAACUUGACGAGGAUAUUGAUGUGGUUGAAGCUAACGGAUCAGGGAACAGGGCUUCACAACCUGGCAGACCUUUCCAAGAGACUAGUGUUAGAACAGGUUCUUCUGUUGAUGCAUCCUGCAAGAGGAAGGCUAUUGAAGGCAGUAGUAGUGGUCAGUCUUCUUUAGGUGGUUACCAUCACGGAGAAAGCAGCAGUUCGUGGACCCCAGUUUCUACCGAGUAUAGGUCAGUAAAUGGUCUAAACAUAUCUGGAUCUCGAGGAGAGGUCUCUGCUACUGCUUCAAAUUUUCUUGUAAGCUCAAGUAGAAAUACAUGUGUCAGGAGUAAUCCCUCUGAAACUGUAAGCCCAGCUGCCUUUUCUGCGGGAACUGUUGUCAGGCGACCUGUCCCUCCACCGCACUCUAACUUAUCAAGACUUGUACCAUCAGAUCAUCAUGGACAAUCCCUAGGAAAUAUCUUCUCACGGAACCCAAAUCCUCCUGCACCUGUUUCAAGGAAUAUGCUACCACCAUUUCAGUGGACUGAGAGCUCACUAGCGGGUGAAUCAUUCAACUCCACCGUGCCCACUGAGAGAAAUAAUCUUCAUCUAGAAGACACCAGGUCAAGAAGCAUAACAGCAGCGAGUGUUCUAGAGAAUCCCUUGUUUAAUCCAGCUCCUGACCUCAGCAGAAAUGCUAACCUGAGUAUUGCAUCAUCAUCAUCAGUGUCCAGGACAGGCUCAAGCACAGGUGUUCAAGCACCAUCUUCUAAUCUAGCGUGGACGCCUCACCGGAAUUUACCACCUCACCAAAGAAGAAGAUCGGAACUUGCCCAUAGGUCAUUGAUUUCUUCCCUUUCUGCAGAUGCGAGAUCUGGUGAUCAUCAUCCACCACUUCGUUCGUUGGCUCCUCCUGCCCCUCAGGAUGGGCUUGUGCUUCAGCCUGGUGGUGGUGAUAGUAGCCGGGCAUACUCGAGAGCAGGUCUGUGGCUUGAUAGACAAGUGGAUAGUUUGGUUGGGGCUCCUCAAUCUUUAAGGGCUUUGGCAGCUGCAAGCAGAGGAAGAAACAGACUUAUGGUAUCCCAGGUCAGUUCAUACAAGUUCGGUUAACCUUGAUGGUUUUUGUUAGACUGACAGUGAGUCUCUUUGAAACAGAUGCAGAAUAUCUUGGAAGUGAUGCGGAGGGAUCCGAAUCAUAACUUGCGGCUUGAGGUUAGUUUCUCCUUGGGGCGGGCUCAGUAGAAUAAACAGUGUUCUAAAAUUACAAGUGAACUUGUCUUCUCUCUGUCUCUGUUGAACUUUAAAAAGUAAUGUGAAUUGCUUGAUUGUCCAGGACGUUAUGCUUCUGAAACCUUAAUUAAAAAAUUAGUAAACAAAAAUAAUGGUAAUUAUAUAUGAUAUUUUUAAUUAAAUAAAAGUGCUUUGUAAUUUUAUUUUGUAAAAAUUAACUAAAAACGACACAUAGGAAAACCUAAGUAUCAAUAUUUACUUGUUCUUGGUACUGAAAACGUUGGUGAGGAACUGAGGAUGUAUGUGGAAUCACUGGAGAAGAAGAUGCCUAAGUCAAUUAGUGGUCAUGAAAUAUAUUGAGUGGUUGUCGACUGGGUUGUGUUAACAAACACAUAGAAAACUUAAUUAAUGGGCCUUCGAGUGAAUAUAUUUUUUUGUUCUUAGUGGCAAGAAUAUUUUGUUGAAGUAUCAAUAUUUGAUUGGCCUGACUUUUCUUUAAUUGUUACUAUCUAAGUUCCAAUUUUUGAUAUUUUUAUAUAACAGAAAUUACAAAAGUCUGUAUUGUGAGUUUCAACUAUUCACAUCCAUAGGACCAUAUAACAUGAUGUUUCACGGACUAAACAUUACCAACAUAUUUAUUUUACUAUAUACUUUGCUAUAUAUAUAUUUAUCAAACAUUUUUAUAUUCCAAAAUAAAAGAGCGAAAUUACAUUUAUUUUCAUAAUUAAAAAAUAUUGCGUAUGAAAUAUGUUUUAGUAUUUACAUAAUUUCAAACACAAAAAAAUUACUUCUAUAGUUUUCAUUAAUUGUGUUUGGGUUUAUAGAAUUAAAACCAAAAAUUCAUUAUGAUUUUUUCCAUAAAUGAAAUAAAAAUAUGCAUGACCAGAAUGAAAUUGCCACUUGAAGUUGUUUCUUUUUUUUUUUUUUGAAACACGGAAUUGUGUCUAAAAAAUCAAGUUAUGUAGGGGGUGUGAACCUGAUCAUUUGUAUUUUAGGCUAAAAAAAAUUAUAUAAAGAAUAAAUAAAAUUGAUUGCGAAUUAUUUAUAACAUGAUACACUUUCUACAAAACGUUUUUUUUAUAGAUUUUGUUUUUUAAUUUUAAAUUCAUAAGCUGAUAAUCAGUGCCGGUCAUAAAAAUUUAAGACCAAGUUUGUAAACUUGAGAUUUUACCAUUAGACCUAAAAAAACGAUUGAAAAUAUGUGGCCGAAAAUAUAUUUAUUGUGAAGCGGCCAAAAACCACUGAUUUCUUUGUUUAAGUCCAAGGGCCGGCUCUGCUGAUAAUCUCUGGGAGUAGAAAAUUUAAGUAAAUAAUAUUUCUAAUGAACAAAUGUCAUCUUGUGUUUAUUUUUAGUUGAGAAUCUAAUGAAAUUAAAGAAAAAAGAAAGGCAAGGAUAUGAAAAGAUAAGCAAUCAGAAAGCACACCAAAUGACCAAAGUUACAUGGUAACAAAAGGAAAGAAACCAAAUCUGUUGGUUUAGUUUGGUUCGGUUUAGUUAAAUUCAAAAAACAAAGAGAGGAAAAUUGAAAAACGAGGGACGUGUGAAGAAGCAAAGGCUAAGAACUUGCCAGCUUGCUGCUGUCUCCUCUUCAAACAAUUUAAUUUAUAGUAUAAAAAAAUUUUUAAUAAGUUUUUUUGUUGGUAUUCGUUGAUUAAGGCUAAGCUUAUUGAAUUCUCCUCUUUGGAAACUGCUCUUAUGACUGACCAUUUUGCUUUCUUUCUUUCUUUAUUUUUCCUUUUCAUAAAAAAAUAUACAUUUUUAAGUUUUCCUAACGUGAAUUAAAACAUUGCCGUCUCUUCCUCUGCCUAAUAAUCAAUCCUCCCUUCCUCUUCUCUCUCUGCAACAAAGCGGUACGUUCUCUCUCUCUCUUCCUCAAGUUUUGUUCUUUCUUCUCAUCCCAAGAUUAAUUUAGAUCGGUUAUGUUUUUCUAUUUUCUUUUUAUUGUUGGGUUUUGAUUUUGUCAUAUCUGGGACUUAUCAUUCGGAAUUGAGAAGAAUCUCUGUUGAAACCGAUUGUUCUAAAGUUGGCUCCUUUAUGUAUAGAUCUCUAAUCAACUUUUGUUUGUUUUGAUAGAAAGCUCUCUUCUUUACCCUUUAUUGAUGAUAUCUUCAUCUUCUGAUUCUGUCUUGUGGGUUGUUUGCCUGACCGACCGACCACCAUGCCUUUAUCUUCCUUCAAGCUGUUUGCUAGCUCUUGGGACUUUGUGACACUUAACUUCCUUUGCUUGUUGUUUUGUCAACCUCUGUCUCUAGGUGUCAAAUUGAUACUUCAUUCACCUCUUAUGAAGUCAUAUGUCAUCUGUUAUGAAUUGUGUUUUACUUGGCCAACUAAUCUAUGAGUCAGUGAGUUGUUUUAAGCUAUUGUGUGAUUUUAUUUGUAAUUACAGUUCUAGGAACUAUGUUUUCAUUGAGAGCAUUUGAGUGUGUUUAUGAGUUUCUUCCUUUUUCAUUCACAAUUUAACUUUUCUUUGUUACUGAAUGAUUUAUACUGUCUUUGUUCUUUUUUUCAGUCUCCACGUUAGGCAGGCACAUUGCUAGAGGAGCAAAGAAAGUCUCGCGAGUCCUCCUCUUCUCCCAAGUGUAACUGUGGUUAAACUUUAGCCGAGAUGCAGGGAGAGAGGGCCAGUCUCGGCUAUUUAUCAGAGGGCUUAAACUUUGAGCAUGGUUCCACCUCCAGUAAUGGUUUGAUGGAUCACUGGGACGGUCUUGGUGAUAACGACUUGCAGGACUACAUGAUUGCAAAUUCUGAAUCUCUCGCUCACUCGGUUUACCCUGAACAACAUAGGUUUAGCCUCGGCGAGGAGGCUAGCUCUAG
Molecule: long non-coding RNA, 4436 nt
Filed under: Brassica napus (rape)
Lineage: Eukaryota; Viridiplantae; Streptophyta; Magnoliopsida; Brassicales; Brassicaceae
Description: long non-coding RNA (BNAP_LNC005656)
Source: RNAcentral